RNAcentral lists this ribosomal RNA (463 nucleotides) under uncultured bacterium. Its description in RNAcentral is "partial 16S ribosomal RNA". It matches the Rfam family "Bacterial small subunit ribosomal RNA", at positions 28 to 507 of the family's 1533-position model. The record is from RNAcentral.
GACGAACGCUGGCGGCGUGCUUAACACAUGCAAGUCGAACGGUGAACCUCUUCGGAGGGGAUCAGUGGCGAACGGGUGAGUAACACGUGGGCAACCUGCCCCCGGCUCUGGGAUAACUCCAAGAAAUUGGGGCUAAUACCGGAUGUUCACCGCUUCCCGCAUGGGUGGUGGUGGAAAGGGUUUCCGGCUGGGGAUGGGCCCGCGGCCUAUCAGCUUGUUGGUGGGGUAGUGGCCUACCAAGGCGACGACGGGUAGCCGGCCUGAGAGGGUGACCGGCCACACUGGGACUGAGACACGGCCCAGACUCCUACGGGAGGCAGCAGUGGGGAAUAUUGCGCAAUGGACGGAAGCCUGACGCAGCGACGCCGCGUGGGGGAUGACGGCCUUCGGGUUGUAAACCUCUUUCAGCAGGGACGAAGCGCAAGUGACGGUACCUGCAGAAGAAGCACCGGCCAACUACGUG